GAGAGAUUAGAAGCUUCCAGGACCAACAAAAACUAAGAAUUUGUGAUCACCAAACCAGCCCUACAAGAAAUAUUAAAAGGGGUCCUCUAAGCAAAGAGAGAGUCUAAA
This is a long non-coding RNA of Mustela erminea (ermine), 108 nucleotides long. RefSeq lists it as uncharacterized. The record is from RefSeq and is a predicted model, not a curated record. The transcript is spliced from 3 exons. NCBI's taxonomy places the organism in Eukaryota, Metazoa, Chordata, Mammalia, Carnivora, Mustelidae.